GUGGGUAUAGCUCAGCGGUAGAGCGCAUGCUAAGCAUGCACAAGGCUCUGGGUUCAAUCCCUAGCAUCUCCA
RNAcentral lists this transfer RNA (72 nucleotides) under Camelus bactrianus (Bactrian camel). It matches the Rfam family "tRNA". Rfam says of the family: Transfer RNA (tRNA) molecules are approximately 80 nucleotides in length. Their secondary structure includes four short double-helical elements and three loops (D, anti-codon, and T loops). Further hydrogen bonds mediate the characteristic L-shaped molecular structure. tRNAs have two regions of fundamental functional importance: the anti-codon, which is responsible for specific mRNA codon recognition, and the 3' end, to which the tRNAs corresponding amino acid is attached (by aminoacyl-tRNA synthetases). tRNAs cope with the degeneracy of the genetic code in two manners: having more than one tRNA (with a specific anti-codon) for a particular amino acid; and 'wobble' base-pairing, i.e. permitting non-standard base-pairing at the 3rd anti-codon position. Lineage: Eukaryota; Metazoa; Chordata; Mammalia; Artiodactyla; Camelidae. The record is from Rfam by way of RNAcentral. RNAcentral also lists the same sequence under 1 other name.